Molecule: ribosomal RNA, 497 nt
Filed under: uncultured bacterium
Lineage: Bacteria
Description: partial 16S ribosomal RNA
Rfam family: Bacterial small subunit ribosomal RNA
Source: RNAcentral
GAUGAACGCUGGCGGCGUGCCUAAUACAUGCAAGUCGAGCGAACAGACGAUGAGCUUGCUCCUCUGACGUUAGCGUCGGACGGGUGUGUAACACGUGGAUAACCUACCUAUAAUUCUUGGAUAACUUCGUGAAACCGUAUCUAAUACCGGAUAAUAUAUUGAACCGCAUGGUUCAAUAGUGAUUGACGGUUUUUCUGUCUCUUUUAGAUGGAUCCGCGCCGCAUUAGCUAGUUGGUAAGGUAACGGCUUACCAAGGCAACGAUGCGUAUCCGACAUGAGAGGGUGAGCGGCAAAAAUGGAACUGAGACACGGAACAGACAACUACGGGAGGCAGCAGUAGGGAAUCUUCCGCAAUGGGCGAAAGCCUGACGGAGCAAAGCCGAGUGAGUGAUGAAGGUCUUCGGAUCGUAAAACUCUGUUAUUAGGGAAGAACAAAUGUGUAAGUAAAUAUGCACGUCGUGACGGUAACUAAACAGAAAGCCACGGCUAACUACGUG